RNAcentral lists this transfer RNA (93 nucleotides) under Sutcliffiella tianshenii. RNAcentral describes it as "Bacillus tianshenii tRNA-Ile". Lineage: Bacteria; Bacillati; Bacillota; Bacilli; Caryophanales; Bacillaceae. The record is from RNAcentral.
GGAGGGGUUGGCAUGCUGGUAAUGCUAAGACGAUUGAUAAUCGUCUGGUCGGAUACCCGAUCCGGGGGUUCAAUUCCCCUCUCCUAACCACCA